RNAcentral lists this ribosomal RNA (119 nucleotides) under Periophthalmus magnuspinnatus. The record is from RNAcentral. Lineage: Eukaryota; Metazoa; Chordata; Actinopteri; Gobiiformes; Gobiidae.
GUACAUGGCCAAACCUCCUUGUCAAAACCUGAUCUUGUCAGAUUGCAGAAGCUAAGCAGGGCUGGGCCUGGUUAGUACGUAGAUGGGAGACCACUGGGAAUACCAGGUGUCACAGUACG